CCUACGGGUGGCUGCAGUGAGGAAUAUUGGUCAAUGGGAGAGAUCCUGAACCAGCCAAGCCGCGUGAGGGAAGACGGCCCUAUGGGUUGUAAACCUCUUUUGUCGGGGAACAAAACCCGGGACGUGUCCCGGACUGCGUGUAUCCGACGAAAAAGCAUCGGCUAACUCCGUGCCAGCAGCCCCGGUAAUACGGAGGAUGCGCGGGUUAUCCGGUUUUAUUGGGUUUAAGGGGGGCGUAGGCGGUCCGUUAAGUCCGCGGUAAAAUUGCGGGGCUCAACCCCGUAGAGCCGUUGAAACUGGCAGACUGGAGUGGGGGAGAAGUACGCGGAAUGCGCGGUGUAGCGGUGAAAUGCAUAGAUAUCGCGCAGAACUCCGAUUGCGAAGGCAGCGUACCGGAGCCAGACUGACGCUGAGGCACGAAAGCGUGGGGAUCGAACAGGAUUAGAUACCCGUGUAGUC
RNAcentral lists this ribosomal RNA (459 nucleotides) under uncultured bacterium. RNAcentral describes it as "partial 16S ribosomal RNA". It matches the Rfam family "Bacterial small subunit ribosomal RNA", at positions 338 to 795 of the family's 1533-position model. The record is from RNAcentral.